UGGGGAAUAUUGGACAAUGGGCGAAAGCCUGAUCCAGCCAUGCCGCGUGAGUGACGAAGGCCUUAGGGUUGUAAAGCUCUUUUGGCGGGGAAGAUAAUGACGGUACCCGCAGAAUAAGCUCCGGCUAACUUCGUGCCAGCAGCCGCGGUAAUACGAAGGGAGCUAGCGUUGUUCGGAAUCACUGGGCGUAAAGCGCACGUAGGCGGAUUUGCCAGUCAGGGGUGAAAUCCCGGGGCUCAACCUCGGAACUGCCUUUGAUACAGCAAGUCUUGAGUUCGAGAGAGGUGGGUGGAAUUCCUAGUGUAGAGGUGAAAUUCGUAGAUAUUAGGAAGAACACCGGUGGCGAAGGCGGCCCACUGGCUCGAUACUGACGCUGAGGUGCGAAAGCGUGGGGAGCAAACAGGAUUAGAUACCCCUGUAGUCC
This 424-nucleotide ribosomal RNA is filed under the name uncultured bacterium. Its description in RNAcentral is "bacterial SSU rRNA". It matches the Rfam family "Bacterial small subunit ribosomal RNA", at positions 355 to 796 of the family's 1533-position model. The record is from RNAcentral.